AGUCAGUAAAAACAACACGUCGCGGGUCUGUGGCAGAUGGUACCUGUGAUGCUGGAUGACAGGCGGCUUCUCGUCGCUUCAGCGUCCGUCAACACGGAUGUCUGCCGGGGAAAGUGGGUGAAAGGAUCAGGAAGGACGAUGUACAGCUGUGACACCUCCUAGCAUCCGAGUUUGACCUUUUAAAGGCGCCAUAUUAUAAUUAUUAACCCAGGAUCACACAAUGACGCUGCAUUUAUAACACGAAAUGUUUCAAAGGGUAAUUGAUGAUCAGUGAACAUGUUUAUUACCAACAACAACAGAGCUGCAGGUUGGGGUGGACUUUGUGUUGUAUGACCGUAUGUAAUGUACUGGUAUGCAGUAAACAUGCACAGAGCUCUACAGCGAUCAAUGGACGAAGGAAUUUUAAGGCUUAAAACACCUACAAAAUACUGUAUAUUUGCAGCAGAAUAAAAUGCAACUGAAAUAAAGUACUAUUUCAAAUAAAUCUCA
This is a long non-coding RNA of Acanthochromis polyacanthus (spiny chromis), 489 nucleotides long. RefSeq lists it as uncharacterized. The transcript has 2 exons. The record is from RefSeq and is a predicted model, not a curated record. NCBI's taxonomy places the organism in Eukaryota, Metazoa, Chordata, Actinopteri, Pomacentridae.